GGACAUUCUGCGGAAUUCCUUCUUCAUCACAGAUUUGUUCAGCAAAGUUGAAGGCUUGUUUUGCUUCUUGGUCUUCGAUGUAGCAAGCAACACAGACUUAUCUUUCCCCUCAGCCUGGAUAGUCACAGUUUUCUUGUUUGCUAGGCCUAAUCAAUCAUAACACCAUAAAACAAAAUUCAUUUCACCUUAAUUUAACCCAUGCCAAAUAUGUAACAACAAUCCAAACAAGCUGUAUAUUAAGCAAACCUUUCCACAAUUAUAAACACUACCAAACAUGACAGACCUGAACUUUAGUUAAAAAACCAAAUGUGUACACUUAUAAAAUCCUAAAUAACAUUCGAACGACAUAUGACAAAUUGCAUGUAAACUAUCAAGCAAUAGACAAUUUUAACGGAUUGCAAUCAGAGAAACAAAAUCCUGCUCUAUAAAUGCAAUUAGACAAUUUUAAGAGGUAAAAAUGUAAGGGGACUAACCAGAGUGUUUGUAAGAGUGAAGGUUGUAAAGAUUGUUAGGUUCUUUGCUGAAGACAACACCGGCGGUACCAUUACCAAACUCCUUAACCAAAAAGGAGUUGUUUUUCUUCACGAUCUCCCAUACAAGUUGCCCUGGAACUGUUGUCAUUUCCACUAACUGAGAGCAAAUGGGGUUCCUAGGGUUU
This 658-nucleotide long non-coding RNA is filed under the name Nicotiana tabacum (common tobacco). Its description in RNAcentral is "long non-coding RNA (NTAB_LNC018116)". Lineage: Eukaryota; Viridiplantae; Streptophyta; Magnoliopsida; Solanales; Solanaceae. The record is from RNAcentral.